AUGAUGUCUGGGUUAAAAGUUAACUUCCAGAAAAGUGAGAUCCUUACUGUGGGUGGGGACGAAAAUGUUGUUAAGAAAUAUGCGGAGCUGUUCAAUUGUGAGAUUGGCAGUUUCCCUAUUAAAUAUCUAGGUAUGCCCGUGAGUUACACGAACCUUAAAACAUCUGAUUGGGAAUUCAUUGUGUGCAAGUAUUUGAAGAGGUUCGAGGCCUGGGUGGGCAAUGCUGCCUCGAUGGGAGGGAGGCAUACCCUGCUUGAUUCUGUAGUCACACAGAUCUCUUUGUACCACAUGUUGAUGUGUCUUAUGAAUAAAACCUUUAUAGAGAGGUUAGAUAAGCACAGGAGAAGAUUUUUCUGGCAAGGUUGCAACAAGAAAAAAAGAUACCACCUUGUGAAAUGGAGCAGAAUCUGUAGAUCCAAAGAAAAAAGCGGUUUGGGCAUCAAAGACCUUCGAAAGCAAAACAUCAGCUUAAUGGUUAAGUGGUGGUGGAAGCUCGAAACGCAAAAAGGACUUUGGCAAGACAUUGUUCAUGCAAGACAUCUCUGCAACAAAUCUGUUGCGGAUGUUACUGCCAGGUUCUCUGACUCACCAUGUUGGAAAGCUCUGCUUAAAAUUAAAGAGGUGUAUAUGAUGGGCAGAAAGAUUGAAACUAAAAUGGGAAACAUCACGAGGACGUGGAAAGACUCGAUUAAUGGGUUACCUCCUUUUAAGGAACAAUACCCUCAGCUGUUUGACAUCUGUAAUUUCCCUGACUGCACUUUGAACAAAGUGAUUGAUGCUGACACCAAUUCUUUCUUUAGGCGCAGACUUACCCCUGAACUGCUU
RNAcentral lists this ribosomal RNA (825 nucleotides) under Triticum aestivum (bread wheat). RNAcentral's name for it is "partial small subunit ribosomal RNA". Lineage: Eukaryota; Viridiplantae; Streptophyta; Magnoliopsida; Poales; Poaceae. The record is from RNAcentral.